Molecule: transfer RNA, 74 nt
Filed under: Cordylochernes scorpioides
Lineage: Eukaryota; Metazoa; Arthropoda; Arachnida; Pseudoscorpiones; Chernetidae
Description: tRNA-Thr
Rfam family: tRNA (bases 6-67)
About the family: Transfer RNA (tRNA) molecules are approximately 80 nucleotides in length. Their secondary structure includes four short double-helical elements and three loops (D, anti-codon, and T loops).
Source: RNAcentral
UCCAGGGUAGCCUAGUGGACAUGGCAUCUGCCCGGUAAGCGGAACACUGUGGGUUCGAUUCCCAUCCAUUAGAA